CCCAGACUCCUACGGGAGGCAGCAGUGGGGGAUAUUGCACAAUGGGGGAAACCCUGAUGCAGCGACGCCGCGUGGGUGAAGAAGCGCCUCGGCGCGUAAAGCCCUGUCAGCAGGGAAGAAAAUGACGGUACCUGAAGAAGAAGCCCCGGCUAACUACGUGCCAGCAGCCGCGGUAAUACGUAGGGGGCAAGCGUUAUCCGGAUUUACUGGGUGUAAAGGGGGCGCAGACGGCGAUGCAAGCCAGGAGUGAAAGCCCGGGGCCCAACCCCGGGACUGCUCUUGGAACUGCGUGGCUGGAGUGCAGGAGGGGCAGGCGGAAUUCCUGGUGUAGCGGUGAAAUGCGUAGAUAUCACGCAGAACCCCGAUUGCGAAGGCAGCAUGCCGGCUUCCGACUGACGCUGAAGCACGAAAGCGUGGGGAUCGAACAGGAUUAGAUACCCUCGUA
Molecule: ribosomal RNA, 445 nt
Filed under: uncultured bacterium
Lineage: Bacteria
Description: bacterial SSU rRNA
Rfam family: Bacterial small subunit ribosomal RNA
Source: RNAcentral